Hydra vulgaris (swiftwater hydra) is the source of this 129-nucleotide non-coding RNA. NCBI's taxonomy places the organism in Eukaryota, Metazoa, Cnidaria, Hydrozoa, Anthoathecata, Hydridae. The record is from RefSeq and is a predicted model, not a curated record.
GAAAGUUAUUCGCGGAAGCAAAGGAGCUUCGAAGUAAAGGAAAGCGGUUCUCGAUGACAAGAUCUUAUGAUCUUCUGCGAGUAUCCGCGUUCUUGUUGUAACGUUAACAAAAUUGUAAUUCUGACUAUA